CUUUGUGCGCUUGAACUCUUCGUUGCUGCCUUCUCAUGUAGUUGGUUUAGGACGCUUUAGUAAUUCUGCUUCCGAGAAAGGUUGUUAGCAGGUUGGUCACGACCGCCCUAUCAUGCGGAAAUUUUAGAAAUAAAUAGAAGCUAUCUCGUUUAAGUAAGUUUUUAUUGUUGCUGUGAAAUAUUUUCAUCAAAUGAUGAAAGUAAAGACGGGCGGACUGAAAACUUCGUUUAUUUAGAUUGACAGAGUUACUUUUAUUUGAAUUGGUCUAACCAUUGAGCGUGAAGUUAGCUAGCGGCCUAGAAGGAAUUUGAGUAAUUUUAAAAGUUUUGACUUUUGGUUGAGUUUCUCGCCUGAAAACUUAGAAAAAGGAGUGACCAUUAUAUUUUUUGGAUUUAGUUUUUUAGAAACCUAAACCUA
Zophobas morio is the source of this 417-nucleotide long non-coding RNA. RefSeq lists it as uncharacterized. Lineage: Eukaryota; Metazoa; Arthropoda; Insecta; Coleoptera; Tenebrionidae. The record is from RefSeq and is a predicted model, not a curated record. The transcript is spliced from 3 exons.